This 409-nucleotide ribosomal RNA is filed under the name uncultured bacterium. Its description in RNAcentral is "bacterial SSU rRNA". It matches the Rfam family "Bacterial small subunit ribosomal RNA", at positions 612 to 1018 of the family's 1533-position model. The record is from RNAcentral.
ACCGGGGAACUGCGUCCGAUACUGGAUGGCUCGAGUUUGGGAGAGGGAUGCGGAAUUCCCGGUGUAGCGGUGGAAUGCGUAGAGAUCGGGAGGAACACCAGCGGCGAAAGCGGCUCUCUGGCUCAUAUCUGACGCUGAGUGCACGACAGCGUGGGGAGCAAACGGGAUUAGAUACCCCGGUAGUCCACGCUAUAAACGAUGAGGGCUGGGUGUUGGUUCCAUUUGGAAUCAGUGCCGAAGCAAACGCGUUAAGCCCUCCGCCUGGGGACUACGAUCGCAAGAUUAAAACUCAAAGGAAUAGACGGGGGCCCGCACAAGCAGCGGAGCGUGUGGUUCAAUUCGAUGCAACACGAAGAACCUUACCAGGGCUUGACAUGUAGGUGGUAGGGAAGGGAAACCGGACCGACCC